This is a long non-coding RNA of Oncorhynchus tshawytscha (Chinook salmon), 310 nucleotides long. NCBI's taxonomy places the organism in Eukaryota, Metazoa, Chordata, Actinopteri, Salmoniformes, Salmonidae. The record is from Ensembl.
GAUGCAGGCAAGAGUGGACUAAUGAUUACACCCUAGAUCAGCUAGAUGCAGGCAAGAGUGGACUAAUGAUUACACCCUAGAUCAGCUAGAUGCAGGCAAGAGUGGAUUAAUGGUUACACCCCAGAUCAGCUAGAUGCAGGCAAGAGUGUGCAAGGCGGUAUUGAAUGUGUCACUGUCUGUCACCUCAAAUUUUCCUUGCGACCUGUGUGCACAUAUGUUGUAAACUUUCAUUCAUAGGCUAGGUUGUAGAAACCUCAUGAUGGGUAUAGGGAACGUUUGAGUAUCAUUUAGUAGCCUAAACCAAUCGCUG